UUUCCGUAGGUGAACCUGCGGAAGGAUCAUUAUUGAAUGAACUUGGUGUGGUUGUGCUGGCCCUCUCGGGGGCAUGUGCUCACUCGCCAUUCUCAUCUCUCCACCUGUGCACCUCUUGUAGACUUGGACUUGACUUUCCGAGGGAACUCGGUCGGGAGGACUGCUGGCAAUUCAGCUGGCUGUCCUUGCAUUUCCAAGCCUACGUUUUUCAUAUACCCCAUUGUAUGUAACAGAAUGUAUCAUUAGGCCCUUGUGCCUAUAAAACUUAUACAACUUUCAGCAACGGAUCUCUUGGCUCUC
Molecule: unclassified non-coding RNA, 300 nt
Filed under: plant metagenome
Description: partial contains small subunit ribosomal RNA, internal transcribed spacer 1, and 5.8S ribosomal RNA
Source: RNAcentral